UUUUUUCCCCCCAGACAUAUCCUUGUAAUUUCUUUUUUUUUGCAGUUCUUUGGAGUUGUUCUCUGGAAAAUUUCCUGAAAUUGCCAAGAAUCUGCCGCUUUCAAUAAUAUCAACUCUGAAAGAGAGAGAAAGGCUAGGAGAGACCACGGGGGACAGAAGUGUUGAUUGCCGCCCAUGGCCAUGCUGGUUUCUUUUCUUCCCCUGUGUAAAGACUGCUGGCUUGGUAUCUCUGGACUCUACAGGUAGAACAUUUCCUGCUGAGAAACAUAUUUGAGUACGAUGAGCAUUUUAAAAAGAGCAUGAAUCUGUUCGCCAUCUGGGGAGGCAAGAAUUAUUCUUCUGUGUUCAGCAUGAAUUCAGGUGAGUUCAGGAGAGGGGGAGCAGUGAAUUUGCUAUAAAUU
RNAcentral lists this long non-coding RNA (401 nucleotides) under Capra hircus (goat). RNAcentral describes it as "lncRNA (ENSCHIG00000001256.1)". The record is from RNAcentral. Lineage: Eukaryota; Metazoa; Chordata; Mammalia; Artiodactyla; Bovidae.